Molecule: ribosomal RNA, 272 nt
Filed under: Escherichia coli
Lineage: Bacteria; Pseudomonadati; Pseudomonadota; Gammaproteobacteria; Enterobacterales; Enterobacteriaceae
Description: partial 16S ribosomal RNA
Rfam family: Bacterial small subunit ribosomal RNA
Source: RNAcentral
AAAUUGAAGAGUUUGAUCAUGGCUCAGAUUGAACACUGGCGGCAGGCCUAACACAUGCAAGUCGAACGGUAACAGGAAGCAGCUUGCUGCUUCGCUGACGAGUGGCGGACGGGUGAGUAAUGUCUGGGAAACUGCCUGAUGGAGGGGGAUAACUACUGGAAACGGUAGCUAAUACCGCAUAACGUCGCAAGACCAAAGAGGGGGACCUUCGGGCCUCUUGCCAUCGGAUGUGCCCAGAUGGGAUUAGCUAGUAGGUGGGGUAACGGCUCACC